This 2598-nucleotide long non-coding RNA is filed under the name Mytilus galloprovincialis (Mediterranean mussel). The record is from RNAcentral. Lineage: Eukaryota; Metazoa; Mollusca; Bivalvia; Mytilida; Mytilidae.
CUAAGAUUUUUUAUUUUUGGUAUAAAGAGCAAGACAGUAAACAUGAAUAUAAAAAUGGCUGCCAUUCAUAGACGGAAUAAGGAUAUAUUCUAAACAUAAUUCAACUAUAAUAACAAAAAAUUAAUACACUUGAUAAUUACAAAACCUCAUGCCAAACUAGUUAUAUCUUUUUGAAACUAAUGUAAAGAGAUAAACAUGAAAAAUAUGACAGAAAUUGACAAUUGGCUAUCUAUUAAUGCAAGUAUAGUUUGUUCCAUAACCGUGAUAAUGAACUAUGAAUUAUAAUUGCAUAUAGACGAUUUUUUUUCUUUUCUUUUAAAUAAGUAUAAAUCUAAAACUGAGGAAUCUUGAGCAGAAAUGGUUUGCAACCUGAUGUCAAGAUAUCAUUUAAAUUAAUAAAAGUCAAGGUUCAUAAAAAAAUUAAGUCUUACAAAAUUGGCAAAUGAAUGUAUAAGGUAUCAUAACAAUAAAUAUAUAAGGUUCACAUAAAAACAAUUUGAAUUACUCAUAAAUAUAACUGAUAGCAAUUAACAACAACAAAUAAGGAAUGUAAGUUACGUAAAAUGUUUUGAUUCUGUUUUCCAUCCACCUGCAUACAAACAAAUCUGUUUAGAAUAUGACAAAAUAGAAACUGACAAUAUAGGAGUUAAAUUACACCCAUAACUGGUUUUGUUAAAACAUAGACUGGUCAGUUGAAUUGGAAUCAACAUAUGCUUGACAAAUAAACAGGAGAAGUUAAUAGCAAUACAUUUUGUAAUAUGUAGAUUAUUCUGUUUUGUUUUUUUUUUCUGCUUUUUUUUUUACAUUUGAUGAAGGGUUACUUUAUUUAAGGAAUGACUGUAAUAUUUUUUCUGUCUAUGAAGAAAUAACAUAAAAAAUUUGGUGCACACUGAAUAACGCGUGUAGCGGGUUAUUUAACAGUGUGCACCACAUUUUUUAUGUUAUUUUGAAUAGACAGAAAAAAUAUUACAGUCAUUUCUUAUAAUUUAAUUCUAAAUUCAUUUUAAACCGUAGAAAACCUUGAAAAAACGUUGAUGACGUCACGGUCACAUGACUAAAUUAUGUCUAUGCUCUGAUAACAAAAUAACGUCGGCCAAUCAGAAGACACGUUACAUCCAAAAUUAAAUUAUUUAUAUAUUUAAAAAUGGAUGUAAACAUGGAAAAGAAAAAAGAAAAUGUUAAUUUUAUUAAACUGAAUAUUGUGCAAAAGAAACUGUUAAAAUUUGAGAUAACAGAUUUUGCUGAUGAAAAUGGUUUUGUUAUUUAACAAGCAAAUAAAAUGACAGUUACAACUGAUGUAUUUAAAAAGUUCAAUUAAGUUUGUGUACCCAUAAUGCAUUUACACUGCAGACUUCUAGAACCUUUAACCCUAAAAUUUCCUUGAAACCAUAGGCCACAAUGAAAGAAGAUUUGGUUGUCUUACUUCUGCAUAAAAUAUGGAGAAGCAGGGAAAAGUUAUUUGUUUCAUAUUUUCACAAAUAGUAGAUUUUCUUUAAAAUUAUUAUAAAAAUGUAAAAUAGUUCAUGAACUUGCCAAAAAAGGGUAUUGGUAACAGGACAGAGAUGAACAUUUUAAAAUAUCAUGUGAUUUAGUAAAAAAAAAACAACAUAUUUUCUUUAAAAAAUCAAAGCUGGUUUUUUUUUUUAAAAAUAGUUUGCAUACCUGCCAACUGUCACUAUUUGCAGGGAAUUUCCCCAAAAGAGAGCUCCCAAAUGGAAAAUUUUAAAGAGCGAUUUUGCCCACAAUUUUUUACAAAAUAUGCUUUUAAUUUGAAACUGCUAAAGAGUGAAUAUUUCUUGUAUGAUAUGUUAACAACUAUUACUAAAUCAGUAAAUUUACCAUAAAAGGUUCAACAUGAACAAUAAAUUUUUAUUUGGUUAUAAUCAAAUAACCUAAUGUCCCAAGGCACAAGUAUUCUCACUUACUACUUAGCAGCAAGGUCAGGUGUACAGAUGGUUACAAUGACUGGACACUAGAACAAUAUAUUGGGGAGAAAGAACAAUUUCAUACAUAUGACAGAGAAUAUUUAUUACCCUACAAAUUCAUUGCAAAUACUAAAUAAAAAUAAUUCCAAAUUACUAUAAAAUGUGAAAAUUGGUUUUCCUUAUUAAUCAAAUUUUAAUUUAUAAUAUGAUCGAUUAAUCAAAUGUUUACUUUAUUUUCAAAUGCCUAGUACCUUGAAACCAGAUGAGUUCUGAACAUUGGUGACAUGUCUCCCUGGUCUACCCUUUAAAUGAAGAGCAAAUAUUGAGGCAGGAUCAUAUAGGCUUAUUUUUUCUGUAAAAAUACUUGGUGUAUGGUGACCUGUAAUUGUUUAUAUCUUGUGUCUUUAUUAGAUUGUUAUCACAUUGGAAAUCAUACAACAUCACUUUAUUUUUUAUUGCUGUGUCAUCUUGACUUGUUAAUAAAACUGGAGAGUACCUUAUGGAUGAGAAAAUAUACUAAAACAAUUACAUGCAUUAUCAAAUACUUUUAACAUUUUAGGUUAAAUGUCUACACAAACAGCAUAUAUUAGAUAAGUAUAUUGAGAAGUAACCAUAUACUUUCAAAUAUGUCUCUGAAAAAAACUUAAAUAGUAUUUUUAAAAUGACAUUUUCU